RNAcentral lists this long non-coding RNA (252 nucleotides) under Dasypus novemcinctus (nine-banded armadillo). RNAcentral's name for it is "lncRNA (ENSDNOG00000051177.1)". The record is from RNAcentral. Lineage: Eukaryota; Metazoa; Chordata; Mammalia; Cingulata; Dasypodidae.
CUUUGUUUCCUGGUGUGAAAACCACCUGUGGAUCAGAGCCAGUGCCAGCCGGCCGCCUGCCUGGGACACGCUGUCCCGCCGCCCGAUGAGGGUCCGCAGACUGGACAGCAUGUUUGUGGCCAUCGUUGUUCCCACUCCUCACGGCAACCAUUUUUUUCUUGCCUGUACUGAGAGGGUUCACUAAGGCAGAGCGCACGGAGCACAGUGAAGGUCUGAUGGAGAAGAAGCACGGACAUGGGUGAGUUGUUCCAG